GUUUCUCAUGAACAAAAUGGUUCCCUUCUUCUACAAAGACGGUUUCCAAAUCUGGAACUCUAUGCUUCAGUAUGUCACUCUUUAUGUAGUCUGCAAUGCCAGGGAAACUAAGAGCAUAGUCCUUCUCCCCCAUAAUCAGCAACGUUGGUGCUACAACUUUUGGAUUAGUUAUUCCACAGCAAUCUAUGCCUAAAGUCCUGCACAGAAACUCUAACCAUUAACGUUCACUGUUAUUACUCUCUAGAGCUAAAUGCUUUGGUUUUCAGUCCCAGGAGUGUGCAAUUAGCAAGAAAAAUGGAAUUUUUUUUAUCAUUGCCUAGAAUAGUUUAAGUCACGUGAUGACAACGUAAUUAAAUAGUGAAUUUUUUUAUGUUUUUCCAUCGUUCUAGCCGUUGGAGGUUAAUUUUCUUUAACAUGGAGUUAUAUGGUUACCUGUAUGGAACCUGCAAUGAAUAGCGAAAUCCAGACUUCUCGUACAAGGAUGCAUAGACUGCAAGAUCUUCUUCAGAGAACCAUGGUGGUAGAGGAGUAGACGGGUCAACCAUGUCCAUGAUCUCUUGGUCCUCUCUAGCUGUUGGUGGCUUAGUUCCAGAGAAGAGAAUGUAGAUGUUUUUUA
Molecule: long non-coding RNA, 616 nt
Organism: Populus trichocarpa (black cottonwood)
Lineage: Eukaryota; Viridiplantae; Streptophyta; Magnoliopsida; Malpighiales; Salicaceae
Exons: 2
Source: RefSeq, a predicted model, not a curated record